AAGUCGAGACGCGAACGUUUCCUUCGGGAUACUAGUAGAGAGGCGCACGGGUGAGUAACGCGUAAGUAAUCUACCUCUCGCAUCUGGAUAACCCACCGAAAGGUGUGCUUAUACUUGACACGUGUGGAAUUAUACUGUGAGUAUAGAGAAAGGUGGCCUCUUCAUGAAAGCUACUGUGCGGGGAGGAGCUUGCGUACCAUUAGCUAGUUGGUAGGGUAACGGCCUACCAAGGCGAUGAGGGUUAGCAGCUCUGAGAGGAUGAUCCGCCACACUGGUACUGAAACACGGUCCAGACUCCUACGGGAGGCAGCAGUGAGGAAUAUUGCGCAAUGGGGGCAACCCUGACGCAGCGACGCCGCGUGGAUGUUGAAGGCAUUCGGGUUGUAAAAUCCUGUCAGAUGGGAAGAAGUGCUAUAUAGUUAAUAUCUGUAUAGUUUGACGGUACCAUCAAAGGAAGCACCGGCUAACUCCGUGCCAGCAGCCGCGGUAAUACGGAGGGUGCAAGCGUUGUUCGGAAUUACUGGGCGUAAAGCGCGCGUAGGCGGCUAUGUAAGUCAGAUGUGAAAGCCCGCGGCUCAACCGUGGAAGUGCAUUUGAAACUGUAUAGCUUGAGUACUGGAGGGGGUAGUGGAAUUCCCGGUGUAGAGGUGAAAUUCGUAGAUAU
This 664-nucleotide ribosomal RNA is filed under the name uncultured bacterium. Its description in RNAcentral is "bacterial SSU rRNA". It matches the Rfam family "Bacterial small subunit ribosomal RNA", at positions 59 to 697 of the family's 1533-position model. The record is from RNAcentral.